RNAcentral lists this ribosomal RNA (484 nucleotides) under uncultured bacterium. Its description in RNAcentral is "partial 16S ribosomal RNA". It matches the Rfam family "Bacterial small subunit ribosomal RNA", at positions 30 to 507 of the family's 1533-position model. The record is from RNAcentral.
AUUGAACGCUGGCGGCAGGCCUAACACAUGCAAGUCGAGCGGAUGAAGGGAGCUUGCUCCUGGAUUCAGCGGCGGACGGGUGAGUAAUGCCUAGGAAUCUGCCUGGUAGUGGGGGAUAACGUCCGGAAACGGGCGCUAAUACCGCAUACGUCCUGAGGGAGAAAGUGGGGGAUCUUCGGACCUCACGCUAUCAGAUGAGCCUAGGUCGGAUUAGCUAGUUGGUGGGGUAAAGGCCUACCAAGGCGACGAUCCGUAACUGGUCUGCGAGGAUGAUCAGUCACACUGGAACUGAGACACGGUCCAGACUCCUACGGGAGGCAGCAGUGGGGAAUAUUGGACAAUGGGCGAAAGCCUGAUCCAGCCAUGCCGCGUGUGUGAAGAAGGUCUUCGGAUUGUAAAGCACUUUAAGUUGGUAGGAAGGGCAGUAAGUUAAUACCUUGCUGUUUUGACGUUACCAACAGAAUAAGCACCGGCUAACUACGUG